GGGCUCUUAGCGCAGCGGUUAGCGCAGUCGGCUCAUAACCGAUAGGUCGAAGGUUCGAAUCCUUCAGAGCCCA
RNAcentral lists this transfer RNA (73 nucleotides) under Nitrospinaceae bacterium. RNAcentral's name for it is "tRNA-Met". It matches the Rfam family "tRNA". Rfam says of the family: Transfer RNA (tRNA) molecules are approximately 80 nucleotides in length. Their secondary structure includes four short double-helical elements and three loops (D, anti-codon, and T loops). The record is from RNAcentral. Lineage: Bacteria; Pseudomonadati; Nitrospinota; Nitrospinia; Nitrospinales; Nitrospinaceae.